This 375-nucleotide ribosomal RNA is filed under the name uncultured organism. Its description in RNAcentral is "partial 16S ribosomal RNA". It matches the Rfam family "Bacterial small subunit ribosomal RNA", at positions 525 to 896 of the family's 1533-position model. The record is from RNAcentral.
GAGGGGGGUGCAAACGUUAUUCGGAAUCACUGGGCGUAAAGGGCGUGUAGACGGGCAAAUUAAGUCGACUGUUAAAUUCUUCGGGCCUAACCGGAGACCUGCGGUCGAAACUGAUGUGCUAGAGGGUGGAAGAGAGAAGUGGAAUUCUCGGAGUAGCGGUAAAAUGCGUAGAUCUCGAGAGGAACACCAAUGGCGAAGGCAGCUUCUUGGUCCACUCCUGACGUUGAGACACGAAAGCGUGGGGAGCAAACAGGAUUGGAUACCCUGGUAGUCCACGCUGUAAACGAUGAUCACUGGACGUUGGUUCUUUUUAUAGAAUCAGUGUCGUAGCUAACGCGUUAAGUGAUCCGCCUGGGGAGUACGGUCGCAAGACUA